GGAAUCUUCCACAAUGGGCGCAAGCCUGAUGGAGCAACACCGCGUGAGUGAAGAAGGGUUUCGGCUCGUAAAGCUCUGUUGUUAAAGAAGAACACGUAUGAGAGUAACUGUUCAUACGUUGACGGUAUUUAACCAGAAAGUCACGGCUAACUACGUGCCAU
RNAcentral lists this ribosomal RNA (161 nucleotides) under uncultured bacterium. RNAcentral describes it as "partial 16S ribosomal RNA". It matches the Rfam family "Bacterial small subunit ribosomal RNA", at positions 358 to 511 of the family's 1533-position model. The record is from RNAcentral.